Molecule: ribosomal RNA, 465 nt
Filed under: uncultured Klebsiella sp.
Lineage: Bacteria; Pseudomonadati; Pseudomonadota; Gammaproteobacteria; Enterobacterales; Enterobacteriaceae
Description: bacterial SSU rRNA
Rfam family: Bacterial small subunit ribosomal RNA
Source: RNAcentral
CCUACGGGCGGCAGCAGUGGGGAAUAUUGCACAAUGGGCGCAAGCCUGAUGCAACCAUGCCGCGUGUGUGAAGAAGGCCUUCGGGUUGUAAAGCACUUUCAGCGGGGAGGAAGGCGUUAAGGUUAAUAACCUUGUCGAUUGACGUUACCCGCAGAAGAAGCACCGGCUAACUCCGUGCCAGCAGCCGCGGUAAUACGGAGGGUGCAAGCGUUAAUCGGAAUUACUGGGCGUAAAGCGCACGCAGGCGGUCUGUCAAGUCGGAUGUGAAAUCCCCGGGCUCAACCUGGGAACUGCAUUCGAAACUGGCAGGCUAGAGCCUUGUAGAGGGGGGUAGAAUUCCAGGUGUAGCGGUGAAAUGCGUAGAGAUCUGGAGGAAUACCGGUGGCGAAGGCGGCCCCCUGGACAAAGACUGACGCUCAGGUGCGAAAGCGUGGGGAGCAAACAGGAUUAGAUACCCCAGUAGUC